This is a long non-coding RNA of Triticum dicoccoides, 1778 nucleotides long. RefSeq lists it as uncharacterized. NCBI's taxonomy places the organism in Eukaryota, Viridiplantae, Streptophyta, Magnoliopsida, Poales, Poaceae. The record is from RefSeq and is a predicted model, not a curated record. The transcript is spliced from 3 exons.
UCCAGGCAAAACGAGAUGGAUCCCGCCGGUGGACGCGACUAAAGCUUCCUCAGGCCACCAUCGUGACCUCCCACAAACACUCACCAAACUGGCACACACUCCAAAGCGCCGCUCCUCGCAGACCACGGCGCAGCAGCGGCGGCGACCAAUAGCCGGUGCGCCGGGCACCUCACCUCCGUGCGGUGUGACUGCUUCUUGGCGACGGCGGUCCACGCCGGUGCGGCCUCGUGGUGUGGUCCUCGGCCUCAAGGCGGCUACCCAUGGCCAGAACACGCAGGAGAGGCGGGCUCGACAUGGCGUCCAGCGUCUAGAUCCGUGACCCACCGUGGAUGUUGGUCGCUGCCUCCUCCUCACCACCAUAGGUCAUCAACUGGCUGCUCCGGCUCUUUUCGGCCCCUCCUCCCCAUGGGUACCUCAAUUCUGACGACUGGAAUAGAGGCAGGACAGGCAGCGAAUCCGGUGUCGUCUUCUUCCUAUCCAUCUCACCGGGUUCGGUCUUCUUCGUUUCUCCUUUAAUUUUUUGUUUGCCUUUUGCUGCUCUUGGCUCGGUUGCCUGGAGCACUUGUGUUGCCAGCCAACCUGCCAUUGGGGUCAGGACUUCGUUCGGUUUUGCUCGGCGGCGUUGGCGGUGGCGAUUUCCUUCGGUUCCGCUGGGCCCUUGUAUUUACUGGCCGCUAGAUGGGAACACGCUCUGCAGUCAGGCUCCUACGACACAACCACCGCCACCGCAUGUACUCGACGUCGCGUUCGUCGCUGAAGCUCCCAAACAGCUCACCUCCUGGCAGCAAGGAAUCAGUUAAAAUAUGCAAGUAUGUGCACUCAGUUUGUUCAAGGCUCUUGGUCAUAAGUUGGUCAGGAGAUGAAAGAAUACGGCUAAACUUCAUAUAUAAGUGAAUUUUUAUCCAGAAUUGAAUUUUCUCAGAAACUACACUAAACUGCAUUGAGAUUAUUCAAAAAUGUUAAUUAAAUGUUAACUGGGUAACUUUGUGAUAAUCUACACUGUAGCAGUUUAAGCAGCGCAGCAAGGCGCGCGUAUGCUUCUAGACAUUUUUGAGAAUUGAUGUGUUGUCAAAGCUAGGUCAUGCUAUCUCAUACCGAGCACAGAAAUACUUUGUGUUUGAUAACCACUUUGUGGCUAAGGAUAAUCGUGCGGGAAUUUUAUUACGGAUCAGCAAAAUGACGAUGUACUUAUAGUGGCGAGGCAAGCAUAGAAAAACUCCUUGGAUACAAUUGAAUCCCUUGCUACCAUUGUUUCAAGACUAUUAGCCCGGGACCCCCUACCCGAGAUUUGCUGGCUUUGACUCGGAUCUGCCGGCUUUGACUCUAUCAAUGAGUGUCACACACUUCCUUGGAAGCGUCUCGGUGGAACCCCAAUCCCCUUUCGCGGUCGGCAUUGGUGAUUUCAGCGCUUCGGUCUUUGUGCAAUCCACUCGGGUUGGUCUUUGUGGCGUCACCUUCAUUGCUCGGUUUCUCCUCUCCUUCGGUUCCUGCUGUCCACUAGCCGUUCCUUGACGUUGAUCUAAUUUGGCCCCAUGUUUUGGUCGUGCUUUCGGAGUAUCCUACUUUGGAUGUGACACGACAUUUUGUGCUUUGCGUUCUAUGAGAUUGGGCUAGGCGUGUUUAGUUUGCCAUGUGUUGGAGGGAUAAGCACCCUUUCUUCUACUCCAACCCACACUUAGUGGGGUGCCUCCUUCUCUUUAUGUUUGUUUAGUUUGCCGUGUGUUGGAGGGAUAAGCACCCUUUCUUCUGCUCCAACCCACACUUAGUGUGGUGCUUCU